RNAcentral lists this ribosomal RNA (449 nucleotides) under Streptococcus mutans. Its description in RNAcentral is "bacterial SSU rRNA". It matches the Rfam family "Bacterial small subunit ribosomal RNA", at positions 28 to 458 of the family's 1533-position model. The record is from RNAcentral. Lineage: Bacteria; Bacillati; Bacillota; Bacilli; Lactobacillales; Streptococcaceae.
GACGAACGCUGGCGGCGUGCCUAAUACAUGCAAGUGGGACGCAAGGGAACACACUGUGCUUGCACACCGUGUUUUCUUGAGUCGCGAACGGGUGAGUAACGCGUAGGUAACCUGCCUAUUAGCGGGGGAUAACUAUUGGAAACGAUAGCUAAUACCGCAUAAUAUUAAUUAUUGCAUGAUAAUUGAUUGAAAGAUGCAAGCGCAUCACUAGUAGAUGGACCUGCGUUGUAUUAGCUAGUUGGUAAGGUAAGAGCUUACCAAGGCGACGAUACAUAGCCGACCUGAGAGGGUGAUCGGCCACACUGGGACUGAGACACGGCCCAGACUCCUACGGGAGGCAGCAGUAGGGAAUCUUCGGCAAUGGACGAAAGUCUGACCGAGCAACGCCGCGUGAGUGAAGAAGGUUUUCGGAUCGUAAAAGCUCUGUUGUAAAGUCAAAGAAACGUGUG